UUAGUGUUCUUGAAUUAAAGACCUCAGUCAAUAGAACAAAGCCAUAUUCAAAGACAUAAAAUGAGAACUUCUUUUCCCCCUACAAUGAAGGAAGAAGUGGAUCUGAUCAUCCAAGAGAGUAACACUUUGUUCCAACCCUACUGGCACAGGGAUAUGUGCACGUAAAUCCAUCUUCCAUCUAUGCUCUGCUGACUCAUUCGGAAAAAUCAGAAGUGAGAUGGUCGUUCUUCUCUGUUAAUAAUUACACAGGGACCUAAUAUAAAUAGAAGAAAUUUCAUGGAGAUCUUCCCAUCUAAUACAUGAAUUAUGCAAAACCAGUUCUCAUUUUUACUUUCUUCAUUGACAAAAUGGUGAAGUACAACAUAGGAAAGAGGUAUGUGGUAAUCCCAGGGUUUAACUCUUAUUUUGACAUUCCAUGGUUUUUAGGAGCUCAGAUGAAUAAGUUGAGAUUCAGACAUCUCUGCCAGUCUCAGACUUUGCUACAGCAGCAUGGUAUUCUAAAUCUUUGGAUACUUCCAC
RNAcentral lists this long non-coding RNA (519 nucleotides) under Vulpes vulpes (red fox). RNAcentral describes it as "lncRNA (ENSVVUG00000027571.1)". Lineage: Eukaryota; Metazoa; Chordata; Mammalia; Carnivora; Canidae. The record is from RNAcentral.